CAUCANCUAUUACUUAAUAUACACAUGCAAGUCUCAGNCCCUCCUGUGAAAACGCCCUUNNAACCCCUCUNAAGGGACAAGGAGCUGGUAUCAGGCACNNAAAAUUAGCCCAAGACACCUAGCUACGCCACACCUACACGGGACCUNCAGCAGUGAUUAACAUUGAAUAUAAGCGCCNAGCUUGAAUCAGUUNAAAGUAAAAAGAGCCNGGCUAAUCUGGUGCCAGCCGCCGCGGUUACACCAUGUGGCUCAAAUGGANCCUCUUGCGGCGUAAAGCGUGAUUNAAAGNUCUAACUCUUACUGCAAUCAAACUAGAAUUAAGCCGUGACACGCUUAUNUCCGAGGAAGCUCAGCAAACGAAAGUAAUUGCANCCUUAAAUAACUUGAACUCACGACAGCUGGGNAAACAAACUGGGAUUAGAUACCCCACUAUGCCUGGCCGUAAACUUUAAUUUACACAGCCUUNNNNNNCGCCAGGGAACUACGAGCAAAGCUUAAAACCCAAGGGACUUGACGGUACCCCAAAUCCACCUAGAGGAGCCUGUCCUAUAAUCGAUAACCCCCGUUCUACCUCACCACUCCUAGCCUAUCAGCCUGUAUACCUCCGUCGUCAGCUUACCCCGUGAGCGCCAANUUAGUGAGCUUAACGCCUNNNNNNNNCUCCACCAACACGUCAGGUCAAGGUGCAGCAUAUGAAGUGGAAAGAGAUGGGCUACACUGUCUAUUCUAGACUAAACGAAAGACCACUUAUGAAANACUGGUCAGAAGGCGGAUUUAGAAGUAAAAGAAGGUCAUAAUACUUCCUUUAACUANGGCACUGGGGUGUGUACACACCGCCCGUCANCCCUCUUNCAAAGCCUUAAUAUAAGUCCUUNAACACNUAUUAGGCACCCUAGAAGANGGCANAGUCGUAACAUGGUAAGU
This 924-nucleotide non-coding RNA is filed under the name Dendropsophus ebraccatus (hourglass treefrog). RNAcentral describes it as "partial 12S ribosomal RNA". It matches the Rfam family "Bacterial small subunit ribosomal RNA". The record is from RNAcentral. Lineage: Eukaryota; Metazoa; Chordata; Amphibia; Anura; Hylidae.